RNAcentral lists this transfer RNA (63 nucleotides) under Curculionidae sp. BMNH 1042554. RNAcentral's name for it is "tRNA-Trp". Lineage: Eukaryota; Metazoa; Arthropoda; Insecta; Coleoptera; Curculionidae. The record is from RNAcentral.
AAGGAUUUAAGUUAAUCAAACUAUUGACCUUCAAAGCCAAAAAUAGAUCUUAUCUAAGCCUUA